CCCUCGAUAACUCAGUUGGAAGAGUGCACGGCUGUAAUGGAUUAUUGUUACCGUGAUGUCGCUGGUUCGAUCCCGGCUCGAGGGA
RNAcentral lists this transfer RNA (85 nucleotides) under Ramalina farinacea. It matches the Rfam family "tRNA". Rfam says of the family: Transfer RNA (tRNA) molecules are approximately 80 nucleotides in length. Their secondary structure includes four short double-helical elements and three loops (D, anti-codon, and T loops). Further hydrogen bonds mediate the characteristic L-shaped molecular structure. tRNAs have two regions of fundamental functional importance: the anti-codon, which is responsible for specific mRNA codon recognition, and the 3' end, to which the tRNAs corresponding amino acid is attached (by aminoacyl-tRNA synthetases). tRNAs cope with the degeneracy of the genetic code in two manners: having more than one tRNA (with a specific anti-codon) for a particular amino acid; and 'wobble' base-pairing, i.e. permitting non-standard base-pairing at the 3rd anti-codon position. Lineage: Eukaryota; Fungi; Ascomycota; Lecanoromycetes; Lecanorales; Ramalinaceae. The record is from Rfam by way of RNAcentral.